GCCCCCAUCGUCUAGAGGCCCAGGACAUCGGCCCUUCAAGCCGGUAACAGCGGUUCGAAUCCGCUUGGGGGCA
Molecule: transfer RNA, 73 nt
Filed under: Chloroflexi bacterium RBG_16_50_9
Lineage: Bacteria; Bacillati; Chloroflexota
Description: tRNA-Glu
Rfam family: tRNA
About the family: Transfer RNA (tRNA) molecules are approximately 80 nucleotides in length. Their secondary structure includes four short double-helical elements and three loops (D, anti-codon, and T loops).
Source: RNAcentral